Cadophora sp. M221 is the source of this 73-nucleotide non-coding RNA. The record is from the annotation of a GenBank genome assembly. NCBI's taxonomy places the organism in Eukaryota, Fungi, Ascomycota, Leotiomycetes, Helotiales, Ploettnerulaceae.
GGGUUAGUGUUCUAAUUGGUAUGAAAUUUUCUUGUCAAGAAAGUAAGUGUCGGUUCGAGGCCGAUCUAACCCG